This 405-nucleotide ribosomal RNA is filed under the name uncultured prokaryote. RNAcentral's name for it is "bacterial SSU rRNA". It matches the Rfam family "Bacterial small subunit ribosomal RNA", at positions 355 to 776 of the family's 1533-position model. RNAcentral also lists the same sequence under 1 other name. The record is from RNAcentral.
UAGGGAAUUUUGCGCAAUGGGCGAAAGCCUGACGCAGCAACGCCGCGUGAUUGAAGAAGCCCUUCGGGGUGUAAAGAUCUGUCAGUGGGGACGAAACUUGACGGUACCCACAGAGGAAGCAUCGGCUAACUCCGUGCCAGCAGCCGCGGUAAUACGGGGGAUGCAAGCGUUGUCCGGAAUCAUUGGGCGUAAAGAGUUCGUAGGUGGCCUGUUAAGUCUGGUGUUAAAUGCAGAGGCUCAACUUCUGUUCGGCACUGGAUACUGGCAAGCUAGAAUGCGGUAGAGGUAAAGGGAAUUCCUGGUGUAGCGGUGAAAUGCGUAGAUAUCAGGAGGAACAUCGGUGGCGAAAGCGCUUUACUGGGCCGUAAUUGACACUGAGGAACGAAAGCCAGGGUAGCAAAUGGG